RNAcentral lists this ribosomal RNA (1552 nucleotides) under Salmonella enterica subsp. enterica. Its description in RNAcentral is "bacterial SSU rRNA". It matches the Rfam family "Bacterial small subunit ribosomal RNA". The record is from RNAcentral. Lineage: Bacteria; Pseudomonadati; Pseudomonadota; Gammaproteobacteria; Enterobacterales; Enterobacteriaceae.
AAAUUGAAGAGUUUGAUCAUGGCUCAGAUUGAACGCUGGCGGCAGGCCUAACACAUGCAAGUCGAACGGUAACAGGAAGCAGCUUGCUGCUUUGCUGACGAGUGGCGGACGGGUGAGUAAUGUCUGGGAAACUGCCUGAUGGAGGGGGAUAACUACUGGAAACGGUGGCUAAUACCGCAUAACGUCGCAAGACCAAAGAGGGGGACCUUCGGGCCUCUUGCCAUCAGAUGUGCCCAGAUGGGAUUAGCUUGUUGGUGAGGUAACGGCUCACCAAGGCGACGAUCCCUAGCUGGUCUGAGAGGAUGACCAGCCACACUGGAACUGAGACACGGUCCAGACUCCUACGGGAGGCAGCAGUGGGGAAUAUUGCACAAUGGGCGCAAGCCUGAUGCAGCCAUGCCGCGUGUAUGAAGAAGGCCUUCGGGUUGUAAAGUACUUUCAGCGGGGAGGAAGGUGUUGUGGUUAAUAACCACAGCAAUUGACGUUACCCGCAGAAGAAGCACCGGCUAACUCCGUGCCAGCAGCCGCGGUAAUACGGAGGGUGCAAGCGUUAAUCGGAAUUACUGGGCGUAAAGCGCACGCAGGCGGUCUGUCAAGUCGGAUGUGAAAUCCCCGGGCUCAACCUGGGAACUGCAUUCGAAACUGGCAGGCUUGAGUCUUGUAGAGGGGGGUAGAAUUCUAGGUGUAGCGGUGAAAUGCGUAGAGAUCUGGAGGAAUACCGGUGGCGAAGGCGGCCCCCUGGACAAAGACUGACGCUCAGGUGCGAAAGCGUGGGGAGCAAACAGGAUUAGAUACCCUGGUAGUCCACGCCGUAAACGAUGUCUACUUGGAGGUUGUGCCCUUGAGGCGUGGCUUCCGGAGCUAACGCGUUAAGUAGACCGCCUGGGGAGUACGGCCGCAAGGUUAAAACUCAAAUGAAUUGACGGGGGCCCGCACAAGCGGUGGAGCAUGUGGUUUAAUUCGAUGCAACGCGAAGAACCUUACCUGGUCUUGACAUCCACAGAACUUUCCAGAGAUGGACUGGUGCCUUCGGGAACUGUGAGACAGGUGCUGCAUGGCUGUCGUCAGCUCGUGUUGUGAAAUGUUGGGUUAAGUCCCGCAACGAGCGCAACCCUUAUCCUUUGUUGCCAGCGAUUAGGUCGGGAACUCAAAGGAGACUGCCAGUGAUAAACUGGAGGAAGGUGGGGAUGACGUCAAGUCAUCAUGGCCCUUACGACCAGGGCUACACACGUGCUACAAUGGCGCAUACAAAGAGAAGCGACCUCGCGAGAGCAAGCGGACCUCAUAAAGUGCGUCGUAGUCCGGAUUGGAGUCUGCAACUCGACUCCAUGAAGUCGGAAUCGCUAGUAAUCGUGGAUCAGAAUGCCACGGUGAAUACGUUCCCGGGCCUUGUACACACCGCCCGUCACACCAUGGGAGUGGGUUGCAAAAGAAGUAGGUAGCUUAACCUUCGGGAGGGCGCUUACCACUUUGUGAUUCAUGACUGGGGUGAAGUCGUAACAAGGUAACCGUAGGGGAACCUGCGGUUGGAUCACCUCCUUACCUUAAAGAA